GAUGAACGCUGGCGGCGUGCCUAAUACAUGCAAGUCGAGCGAACAGAUAAGGAGCUUGCUCCUUUGACGUUAGCGGCGGACGGGUGAGUUACACGUGGAUAACCUACCUAUAAGACUGGGAUAACUUCGGGAAACCGGAGCUAAUACCGGAUAACAUAUUGAACCGCAUGGUUCAAUAGUGAAAGGCGGCUUUGCUGUCACUUAUAGAUGGAUCCGCGCCGUAUUAGCUAGUUGGUAAGGUAACGGCUUACCAAGGCAACGAUGCGUAGCCGACCUGAGAGGGUGAUCGGCCACACUGGAACUGAGACACGGUCCAGACUCCUACGGGAGGCAGCAGUAGGGAAUCUUCCGCAAUGGGCGAAAGCCUGACGGAGCAACGCCGCGUGAGUGAUGAAGGUCUUCGGAUCGUAAAACUCUGUUAUUAGGGAAGAACAAAUGUGUAAGUAACUGUGCACAUCUUGACGGUACCUGAUCAGAAAGCCACGGCUAACUACGUG
Molecule: ribosomal RNA, 497 nt
Filed under: uncultured bacterium
Lineage: Bacteria
Description: partial 16S ribosomal RNA
Rfam family: Bacterial small subunit ribosomal RNA
Source: RNAcentral